AGUGAACGCUGGCGGUAGGCCUAACACAUGCAAGUCGAACGGCAGCACAGUAAGAGCUUGCUCUUACGGGUGGCGAGUGGCGGACGGGUGAGGAAUACAUCGGAAUCUACUUUUUCGUGGGGGAUAACGUAGGGAAACUUACGCUAAUACCGCAUACGACCUACGGGUGAAAGCAGGGGAUCUUCGGACCUUGCGCGAUUGAAUGAGCCGAUGUCGGAUUAGCUAGUUGGCGGGGUAAAGGCCCACCAAGGCGACGAUCCGUAGCUGGUCUGAGAGGAUGAUCAGCCACACUGGAACUGAGACACGGUCCAGACUCCUACGGGAGGCAGCAGUGGGGAAUAUUGGACAAUGGGCGCAAGCCUGAUCCAGCCAUGCCGCGUGAGUGAAGAAGGCCUUCGGGUUGUAAAGCCCUUUUAUUGGGAAAGAAAAGCAGCAGAUUAAUACCCCGCUGUUCUGACGGUACCCAAAGAGUAAGCACCGGCUAACUUCGUG
This 492-nucleotide ribosomal RNA is filed under the name uncultured bacterium. RNAcentral describes it as "partial 16S ribosomal RNA". It matches the Rfam family "Bacterial small subunit ribosomal RNA", at positions 29 to 507 of the family's 1533-position model. The record is from RNAcentral.